Molecule: ribosomal RNA, 135 nt
Organism: Castor canadensis (American beaver)
Lineage: Eukaryota; Metazoa; Chordata; Mammalia; Rodentia; Castoridae
Source: Ensembl
GUCUAUGGCCCUAGCACCCUGAACACACCCUAUCUCGUCUGGUCUUGGAAGCUAAGUAGGGUUGGGCCUUGUUAGUACUUGGAUGGAAAAUGGAUCUUCAAAAGACACUGCUCAGAGACAAGCAGUUGGAAGACA